RNAcentral lists this ribosomal RNA (489 nucleotides) under Triticum aestivum (bread wheat). Its description in RNAcentral is "partial small subunit ribosomal RNA". The record is from RNAcentral. Lineage: Eukaryota; Viridiplantae; Streptophyta; Magnoliopsida; Poales; Poaceae.
AUGAAUGAGAUAAACAAGAAGUUUGAUUACAAGAACCGUCUCGACAAGAAAGACUUGGUCAUGCUGCCAGUGCUCGAGUGCGCGGAUGUAACCGAUAAGGACGGAGGGAGGCAUUAUUGGGUCUUCAGUGUCAACUUGAGGGACGGACGCUUCGAAGUUCUUGAUUCAAGCAGGAUGCUGGACAACAUUGAGCUGAUGAACACCGCCUCCACCAUUGCGGGGGCAGUACGCCAGCUAUGGAGGAAGCAUUACCCAAAGUUCAGCAUCGAGCACUUCCAGAUUAUUGACAUUGAUGUACCGAAGCAGCUCGGCAAUAAUGAGUGUGGGUUGUUCGCACUGCUUAACGCCAUCGAGUGGAAUGGUAGCCAACUGCCCAACUACGACCCCAAGGAAGUACUCAACAUCAGGAAGAAGCUGGCAUAUGAUUGGGUCACCAGCAUGCACAACACCGCCCCAUGGAGGAAGUUGCUGAGAUACGACAAGGAGUAG